This 274-nucleotide ribosomal RNA is filed under the name uncultured bacterium. RNAcentral describes it as "partial 16S ribosomal RNA". It matches the Rfam family "Bacterial small subunit ribosomal RNA", at positions 523 to 796 of the family's 1533-position model. The record is from RNAcentral.
AUACAGAGGGUGCGAGCGUUAAUCGGAAUUACUGGGCGUAAAGCGCGCGUAGGCGGCUUAUUAAGUCAGAUGUGAAAUCCCCGGGCUCAACCUGGGAACUGCAUCUGAUACUGGUAAGCUAGAGUUUUGGAGAGGGAAGUAGAAUUUCAGGUGUAGCGGUGAAAUGCAUAGAGAUCUGAAGGAAUACCAGUGGCGAAGGCGACUUCCUGGCCAAAAACUGACGCUGAGGUGCGAAAGCGUGGGGAGCGAACAGGAUUAGAAACCCUAGUAGUCC